This 121-nucleotide ribosomal RNA is filed under the name Cebus imitator (Panamanian white-faced capuchin). The record is from RNAcentral. Lineage: Eukaryota; Metazoa; Chordata; Mammalia; Primates; Cebidae.
GUCUACAGCCAUACCACCCUGAAUGUGCCUGAUCUCAGAAGCUAAGCAGGGUCGGGCCUGGUUAGUACUUGGAUGGGAGAAGUAAAUGAAAGCGCAAAGGUAACGAUGGCUGUAUUAGUCA